UCCAACAUACCCUACCUAACGGAAGAUCGGGAUCAACACCCCUAUUAGCUGGUAUCAGAUUCACAGGUUUCUCGAUAGGUAAUUCUUGUUAUCUUCCUUUUAUUGUCCUAGAGUCCACUAGCCGACAAACACAACAAAAAAUCCCAUCCUACAGCCCCUUUGUGCCUUUCCGAUUUUAAUUUCAGUGUUGCUUUAUUGAAUUUGUGUCCGUAGUUGAGUCUUUGUUGCUGGUUUAGAUUGUGUCCAAGUCUGGUUGUGUUUCCCCUUGUGCCGCCACCCAUAUCACAUCGCUGCCAACCCUAGCCGCCGCAUUUGUGCCACCGUAAAACCCUGAUUUCAGGGCAAAUCUUGAAACGGCCAUAACUUUCCGCUCGGUGGUCGAAACAGGGCAAAAAAAUUUUCACGGACAUCUACAAAAAAAUUUCCUACGUGGUUCUCCCGGAAAGCCAGGUUCGGCGAAAUCAGAUUUUCGCAAUUCCCUUUGCAAGAUUGUGUUUCUGAGGUUCGAAGUUGUUUCUUCUCAUUUCUAGUAUCUUCAUGAAUUUUUCUAGCUCAUAUAUGUUAUCCCCAUAAGUUGAAACUUGGUGUGCUUUGUUCUUAGGUGCUCCUGGUUCAAAAAAAAUAUCAAAAAAUAUUCAAAACACAAAAAAAGAAAAAAAAGAGACAAAAAAAUUUUAGAGAGGAGCACCUGAGCACCUGAGACUUGGUACACCCUGAGCAGAGCUGUGAGAUCCUAUCCUUUGACUUGCCUCAUUAUGGUUUACCCUGCUUGCUUGUUGUUCUACAACUUCUACUAGGUGCACAUUUAGGCCAGCAACUAUGACGAG
RNAcentral lists this long non-coding RNA (827 nucleotides) under Setaria italica (foxtail millet). Its description in RNAcentral is "long non-coding RNA (SITA_LNC003854)". Lineage: Eukaryota; Viridiplantae; Streptophyta; Magnoliopsida; Poales; Poaceae. The record is from RNAcentral.